RNAcentral lists this ribosomal RNA (439 nucleotides) under uncultured bacterium. RNAcentral describes it as "partial 16S ribosomal RNA". It matches the Rfam family "Bacterial small subunit ribosomal RNA", at positions 339 to 795 of the family's 1533-position model. The record is from RNAcentral.
CUACGGGGUGCAGCAGUGGGGAAUACUGCACAAUGGACGAAAGUCUGAUGCAGCAACGCCGCGUGGAGGAUGACACAUUUCGGUGCGUAAACUCCUUUUAUAUAGGAAGAUAAUGACGGUACUAUAUGAAUAAGCGCCGGCUAACUCCGUGCCAGCAGCCGCGGUAAUACGGAGGGCGCAAGCGUUACUCGGAAUCACUGGGCGUAAAGAGCGUGUAGGCGGAUAGAUAAGUCAGGAGUGAAAUCCUAUGGCUCAACCAUAGAACUGCUCUUGAAACUGUCUAUCUAGAAUAUGGGAGAGGUAGAUGGAAUUUCUGGUGUAGGGGUAAAAUCCGUAGAGAUCAGAAGGAAUACCGAUUGCGAAGGCGAUCUACUGGAACAUUAUUGACGCUGAGACGCGAAAGCGUGGGGAGCAAACAGGAUUAGAUACCCUCGUAGUC